ACUCAAAGGAAUUGACGGGGACCCGCACAAGCGGUGGAUUAUGUGGUUUAAUUCGACUCUACGCGAAAAACCUUACCGGCUCUUGACAUGUGACGUAUGGGGACCAGAGAUGGUUUCCUUCACUUCGGGUGGCGUCAACACAGGUGCUGCAUGGCUGUUGUCAGCUCGUGUCGUGAGAUGUUGGGUUAAGUCCCGCAACGAGCGCAACCCUUAUCGUUAGUUGCCAUCAGGUUAAGCUGGGCACUCUAACGAAACUGCCGGUGAUAAGCCGGAGGAAGGUGGGGAUGACUUCAAGUCCUCAUGGCCCUUAUGGGCCGGGCUACACACGUAAUACAAUGGUGGUGACAGAGAGUUGCAAUGAUGUAAAAGUCGGAGCGAAUCUCUUAAAAGCUAUCUCAGUUCGGAUUGUCUCCUGCAACUCGGAGGCAUGAAGUCGGAAUCGCUAGUAAUCGCAGAUCAGCAUGCUGCGGUGAAUACGUUCUCGGGUCUUGUACACACCGCCCGU
RNAcentral lists this ribosomal RNA (505 nucleotides) under uncultured bacterium. RNAcentral describes it as "bacterial SSU rRNA". It matches the Rfam family "Bacterial small subunit ribosomal RNA", at positions 899 to 1397 of the family's 1533-position model. The record is from RNAcentral.